RNAcentral lists this ribosomal RNA (513 nucleotides) under uncultured bacterium. RNAcentral's name for it is "bacterial SSU rRNA". It matches the Rfam family "Bacterial small subunit ribosomal RNA", at positions 16 to 518 of the family's 1533-position model. The record is from RNAcentral.
AUCCUGGCUUAGGAUGAACGCUAGCUACAGGCUUAACACAUGCAAGUCGAGGGGCAUCAUGACGAUAGCUUGCUAUUGUUGAUGGCGACCGGCGCACGGGUGAGUAACGCGUAUCCAACCUUCCCUAUAGUAGAGGAUAGCCCGGCGAAAGUCGGAUUAAUACUCUAUGUUGUAUUUUGCGGACAUCUAACGAAUACCAAAGGUUUACCGCUAUAGGAUGGGGAUGCGUCUGAUUAGGUUGUUGGCGGGGUAACGGCCCACCAAGCCAUCGAUCAGUAGGGGUUCUGAGAGGAAGGUCCCCCACAUUGGAACUGAGACACGGUCCAAACUCCUACGGGAGGCAGCAGUGAGGAAUAUUGGUCAAUGGACGGGAGUCUGAACCAGCCAAGUAGCGUGCAGGAUGACGGCCCUAUGGGUUGUAAACUGCUUUUAUACAGGGAUAAAGUCGGGGACGUGUCCCCGCUUGUAGGUACUGUAUGAAUAAGGACCGGCUAAUUCCGUGCCAGCAGCUGC